AUGUCUCCAAUACUCUUUCUCUGUGUAGUUGCAGUUGUCUGUAGGGAAUCAAGUUGCCAGAUUUCUUUGAAUCAACCAUCAGCAUCAAAAUCAGUUUCCAUUGGAGGAAGCGUCACUUUCACAUGUACCUCUAGUGCAGACGUGACUGACGACAUAGGGUGGUACCUGCAGAGACCUGGAGAAAGUCCUAAACUCCUGAUCAAUGAAGCACGUUUUCUAAAUGGUGACACCCCGAGUCGCUUUAGUGGCAGUGGAUAUGGAACAUCAUUCAGUUUGAAUAUCAGUGGAGUCCAGCCUGAAGACGCCGGUCACUACUACUGUCAGCAAGAGAACAGCUACCCUUUUGCACAGUGA
This is a non-coding RNA of Polypterus senegalus (gray bichir), 354 nucleotides long. Lineage: Eukaryota; Metazoa; Chordata; Cladistia; Polypteriformes; Polypteridae. The record is from the annotation of a RefSeq genome assembly.